UCCCUCAUAGCUCAGUUGGUAAAUCAUCUGCCUGCAAUGCAGGAGACUCAGGUUCAAUUCCUGGGUCGGGAA
RNAcentral lists this transfer RNA (72 nucleotides) under Capra hircus (goat). It matches the Rfam family "tRNA". From Rfam's summary of the family: Transfer RNA (tRNA) molecules are approximately 80 nucleotides in length. Their secondary structure includes four short double-helical elements and three loops (D, anti-codon, and T loops). RNAcentral also lists the same sequence under 1 other name. The record is from Rfam by way of RNAcentral. Lineage: Eukaryota; Metazoa; Chordata; Mammalia; Artiodactyla; Bovidae.